Molecule: long non-coding RNA, 938 nt
Organism: Helianthus annuus (common sunflower)
Lineage: Eukaryota; Viridiplantae; Streptophyta; Magnoliopsida; Asterales; Asteraceae
Exons: 3
Source: RefSeq, a predicted model, not a curated record
UCAUCUUCUUCUCCAUCUUCUUCAAGAUUUGAAACCCUAGCCUCCCCUUAUCUACCCUACAAUCAAACGUUCACACACACAAAAGAAAGACAAAGUGAACUCUCAUCUUCUUCAAACACACAAUCACAGCCUCUCAAUCUCCCUCUCUAUGAAGGCCGGCCGACCACCACAGGUGGUGGCGGCGUCAGGCGACUACAGCAGCGGCAGGAGACACCGCAGGCGGCGGUGGUUUCUCCCGGUGCCGGUUCUCCGACCAGACGCAUCACUACCCUCCCUCUCCUUCUCGAUGGCCGGCGACGGCGUGACAACAGUGCCGCCGCUCGCGGCGGUGGUGGUGAAUCUGAAUAAUAGAACAGCGCCCCUCUCUCUCGAUCUCCGAUGAUGGUAACGAGAUUAGGUAAAAAGAUGGUGAUGUGAGGUGCCGACGGCCGGAGACACCGUUCACGGCGGCGGCUCCUUGUUUCUGUCCGAUGACUUCGAGGUAACCCCCACCCCCCUUUUUCACCUCGCCCUCUUCUCUCCCGUUGAUUUUCUGACGACCGGUGACGGAGAGGAUGACAAGCAUAAGUUGGUUGAUGAUGUUGGAUCGGGUUUGGUAUGGUUAACUGGUCAGUGGGUUUGGUUCGGGCUCGGUCAGGACAAGUCAGCGGUCAAGUCACGUGAGUCUCGGGUCAGGUUCAGUACGGGAUUCGAGUCGGGUCAGCGGUCCAGUCAACGAGUCCGCACAGGUUACUCGCGAGAUACGGAUAAUCACUCUUGUUCGCUCUCUUGGAAUUUCCGUUCACUCAUGCACCAUCGUUUGCCCUUAUAGGGUGACCUCGGUGUUUCGUCCUCCUAAACUCGUACCCACGUCAACGCUUGGAUAAUCGGAAGACUUAACAAUUAUGUGGAUGUCGACGAUGCAUGGAACUUAGUAGGAUGCUUAGAUACACACUUAA